This 320-nucleotide ribosomal RNA is filed under the name uncultured eukaryote. RNAcentral describes it as "partial 18S ribosomal RNA". It matches the Rfam family "Eukaryotic small subunit ribosomal RNA", at positions 1470 to 1796 of the family's 1831-position model. The record is from RNAcentral.
CCCCUAGAUGUUCUGGGCCGCACGCGCGCUACACUGAACAGUUCGACAAGUCUUAACCUUGGCCGAUAGGUCUGGGUAAUCUUUGAACGCUGUUCGUGAUUGGGAUAGACCUUUGCAAUUAUGGGUCUUCAACGAGGAAUUCCUAGUAAACGCAAGUCAUCAGCUUGCAUUGAUUACGUCCCUGCCCUUUGUACACACCGCCCGUCGCACCUAUCGAUUGAAUGGUCCGGUGAAAUCUCGGGACGGCGGCUUGGUCGCUUGCGUCCGACUGCUGAAACUUGAUUAAACCAUAUCAUUUAGAGGAAGGUGAAGUCGUAACA